Molecule: non-coding RNA, 118 nt
Organism: Aedes albopictus (Asian tiger mosquito)
Lineage: Eukaryota; Metazoa; Arthropoda; Insecta; Diptera; Culicidae
Source: Rfam
UGCCCAGCAACUCCUAUCCCUACCUCCACGCGGUACCGGCCGGAAACUAUGAGCAACCUUAGGGAAGAUCGGGUAACCAACCCCGGUGGGAACUUUGGUCGUAGGCUGACAAGGAAGG